UCCUGUCUUUGUCUGUUUUCCCGCCCUCCAUGAUCACCUGAGUUUCAGUUCACCUGAGUUUCUUUGUCCAGUCUGUCAGUCUUCACAGUUUUGUCCUCCAACAUGUCUGACGUAGGUUUCUCCUCUUUAUUCGGAUUCUUUUUCCUGAUCUGACCUGCUCACAGUCGAAACCAGGUCCGUGGAAAAAGAAGUUGAAGAACCAUGACAAUGACAUGAAGAGGCUUCAAAACUUCAAAUGACUCAACCUCUGCCUCAAAAUACAAACGACGUGGAGCUUGGCCGUCUUCUUGGACGAUCCAGAUGCUUCGUAAAUGGUUCCAUCCAGAUCCACAGACAUGGUGAAGACUGGAGC
Paralichthys olivaceus (Japanese flounder) is the source of this 352-nucleotide non-coding RNA. NCBI's taxonomy places the organism in Eukaryota, Metazoa, Chordata, Actinopteri, Pleuronectiformes, Paralichthyidae. The record is from RefSeq and is a predicted model, not a curated record.